GAUGAACGCUAGCGGCAGGCCUAACACAUGCAAGUCGAGGGGUAGCAGGAUUAAGCUUGCUUAAUUGCUGACGACCGGCGCACGGGAGCGUAACGCGUAUGCAACCUACCUUAUACUGGGGUAUAGCCCGGAGAAAUUCGGAUUAAUCCCCCAUAGUACUAAUGAAUCGCAUGGUUUAUUAGUUAAAGCAUUGCGGUAUAAGAUGGGCAUGCGUCCUAUUAGCUAGAUGGUGAGGUAACGGCUCACCAUGGCUACGAUAGGUAGGGGGCCUGAGAGGGUGGUCCCCCACACUGGUACUGAGACACGGACCAGACUCCUACGGGAGGCAGCAGUGAGGAAUAUUGGUCAAUGGGCGCAAGCCUGAACCAGCCAUGCCGCGUGCAGGAAGAAUGCCCUAUGGGUUGUAAACUGCUUUUAUUUGGGAAUAAACCUCUUUACGUGUAGAGAGCUGAAGGUACCAAAUGAAUAAGCACCGGCUAACUACGUGCCAGCAGCCGCAGUAA
RNAcentral lists this ribosomal RNA (503 nucleotides) under uncultured bacterium. RNAcentral's name for it is "partial 16S ribosomal RNA". It matches the Rfam family "Bacterial small subunit ribosomal RNA", at positions 28 to 523 of the family's 1533-position model. The record is from RNAcentral.